AGAUUCCGUCCUUAGCAUCAGGAAAGAAAAGACCCGGCUUGUGAGCUCCUUGUCCCACCUUCUUUCACUCCAGACGUCCAUCUCCAUCUUUCUCCAUCAGGGACUUUCUGGGCAGGACACUUCCUUGAUCACAUCCCCAGUUUUCCACCCAGGACUUUGUGAAAACUCCUCCAGGCCUGGCUCUUGUGUGCUGGACCUUCUCUUGCGUGGUUAGUUGUAAAACUUGAUGCUUCUGCAGGCAGAUGAUGGCAGAAAGCUCCCACCCCACCACGCUGAUGACGGCAGAAAGCUCCCGCCCCACCACGCUGAUGACGGCAGAAAGCUCCCGCCCCACCACGCUGAUGAUGGCACUCUCGUUGGGUGGUUGUGUGGUCUUCAUACAAUUUCAGGGUAAAUCGCCACUUGAUGUCAUUGCUAAAUGGGAUACCUGAGCUAUGAUGAUUUUGCCUGAUUGUUAAAGUUAGUAUUUUAAGACCAAAGAUGGACAAAAUACGUUAAAAUUGUCUGUAAAAAGGCACAUUUCUGAAUUUGCUUUUAAUACUUUAAAAG
This 549-nucleotide long non-coding RNA is filed under the name Homo sapiens (human). RNAcentral's name for it is "long intergenic non-protein coding RNA 1865". Lineage: Eukaryota; Metazoa; Chordata; Mammalia; Primates; Hominidae. The record is from RNAcentral.